CAUUUCGUCAAAUACGCAUCAUAAUUUCACAUUCAACAUCUCCUAUUUGUUUGAGGUCCCUUUAAUAAACCAAUAAACUCAAAUUAAGCAUCUGUAUAAAAGAAUUCCCACAAGAAAUUGUUUGUUUUAAUAGAUUUAAUCUCUAAAAUAAAUGAGGAAAAAUCCUAGUAGGUUGGCCAAAAUUUGUCACUAUAUAUGAACAACCUCAGAAAUUUCCAGAAGCUUUAAAAAUCACUCAAAUCAUCUCUCAAAAAUUUCAGCUCAUAAACAAAAUAAAUACCGGCAAGUGACAGAUCCGGGAGAGCAACAAUGGUUGGGCAAGUGCAGAUCCGAGUGAGCAACAACG
This 346-nucleotide long non-coding RNA is filed under the name Citrus sinensis (sweet orange). Its description in RNAcentral is "long non-coding RNA (CSIN_LNC004247)". The record is from RNAcentral. Lineage: Eukaryota; Viridiplantae; Streptophyta; Magnoliopsida; Sapindales; Rutaceae.